This 522-nucleotide ribosomal RNA is filed under the name uncultured bacterium. RNAcentral describes it as "bacterial SSU rRNA". It matches the Rfam family "Bacterial small subunit ribosomal RNA", at positions 371 to 884 of the family's 1533-position model. The record is from RNAcentral.
AUGGACGAAAGUCUGACGGAGCAACGCCGCGUGAGUGAAGAAGGUUUUCGGAUCGUAAAACUCUGUUUUCAGGGACGAAUGUGUGGAUUGUAAAUAAUGAUCCAUAAUGACGGUACCUGACAAGAAAGCCACGGCUAACUACGUGCCAGCAGCCGCGGUAAUACGUAGGUGGCAAGCGUUGUCCGGAAUUAUUGGGCGUAAAGCGCGCGCAGGUGGGAUAAUCAGUCUGAUGUUAAAGUUCGGGGCUUAACCCCGUGAAGCAUUGGAUACUGUUAUUCUUGAGUGCAGGAGAGGAAAGUGGAAUUCCUAGUGUAGCGGUGAAAUGCGUAGAUAUUAGGAGGAACACCAGUGGCGAAGGCGACUUUCUGGACUGUGUCUGACACUGAGGCGCGAAAGCCAGGGUAGUGAACGGGAUUAGAUACCCCGGUAAUCCUGGCCGUAAACGAUGGGUACUAGGUGUUGGGGGUAUCGACCCCUCCAGUGCCGGAGUUAACGCAAUAAGUACCCCGCCAGGGGAGUACG